Trachymyrmex septentrionalis is the source of this 580-nucleotide long non-coding RNA. RefSeq lists it as uncharacterized. The record is from RefSeq and is a predicted model, not a curated record. Lineage: Eukaryota; Metazoa; Arthropoda; Insecta; Hymenoptera; Formicidae. The transcript is spliced from 3 exons.
GUUGUGUUACUACGAUACUUUUGUGCAUUGUGAUGCGAAUGCAAUCGGAAAAGUUCUGAGGAAGUGAAGGAAGAAAAAUGAGAGCAAGAGGAGUCGAGCAACUUUGUGAAUCAUCGUACUAGCUGAUAACUCCACUGUUGCACAGCGAUUGCUACAAAGGCAGUAGUAGUGAUGGUUCGGAAAAAUUAGAGAGAGGGAUGAGGGAGAUGGGUAGAUGAGUGAAAAGGAGAAAAGCGGAGAAAAAUAUAAGAGAACGUCAGUAACGACUAACGCAAGCUUCGCGAAGAAGGGAAGGACGGCAUCUUUAGUAAUUACCCGCCUCCGGAGGACGCAUUACUCUUUGUUGGCCGACGUACCUCGGAUCUUAUCGUCGUUGAGAGAGAAAGGAUGAGGAGUAGUGAAGUAAAAGGUAGAACUGCAGUACUGGGAAUCACUUCUGUGGAAUAAGACGAGGAAUGGGAAGUCGGUUGCAAUCCUUACUCUACGAAAUUGCGUUGGGCGACAUUUUCAUCUUUGCUUUUGUCUAGUCUAUGGACACGCAUUUUACUUUAUAAUAGCAUAAUAAUUUUUAUAUCAUCAA